This 292-nucleotide ribosomal RNA is filed under the name uncultured Planctomycetota bacterium. RNAcentral's name for it is "uncultured planctomycete partial 16S ribosomal RNA". Lineage: Bacteria; Pseudomonadati; Planctomycetota. The record is from RNAcentral.
GGACUACUGGGGUAUCUAAUCCCGUUUGCUCCCCUGGCUUUCGCGCCUCAGCGUCAGAAGAGGUCCAGUUGUGCGCUUUCGCCACCGGCGUUCCUUCCGAUAUCAACGCAUUUCACCGCUCCACCGGAAGUUCCCACAACCCCUACCUCACUCGAGUCCGCCAGUAUCAAAGGCACUUCUCCAGUUAAGCUGGAGGCUUUCACCCCUGACUUGGCAGACCGCCUACGCGCCCUUUAAGCCCAGUGAUUCCGAACAACGUUCGCACGGUUCGUCUUACCGCGGCUGCUGGCAC